UCAGGACGAACGCUGGCGGCGUGCUUAACACAUGCAAGUCGAACGGAAAGGCCCAGCUUGCUGGGUACUCGAGUGGCGAACGGGUGAGUAACACGUGGGUGAUCUGCCCUGGACUCUGGGAUAAGCCUGGGAAACUGGGUCUAAUACCGGAUAUUCACUUUCUCUCGCAUGGGGGUUGGUGGAAAGCUUUUGCGGUUCAGGAUGGGCCCGCGGCCUAUCAGCUUGUUGGUGGGGUAAUGGCCUACCAAGGCGACGACGGGUAGCCGACCUGAGAGGGUGAUCGGCCACACUGGGACUGAGACACGGCCCAGACUCCUACGGGAGGCAGCAGUGGGGAAUAUUGCACAAUGGGCGCAAGCCUGAUGCAGCGACGCCGCGUGAGGGAUGACGGCCUUCGGGUUGUAAACCUCUUUCACCAGGGACGAAGCGUGAGUGACGGUACCUGGAGAAGAAGCACCGGCCAACUACGUGCCAGCAGCCGCGGUAAUACGUAGGGUGCGAGCGUUGUCCGGAAUUACUGGGCGUAAAGAGCUCGUAGGCGGUUUGUCGCGUCGUCUGUGAAAUUCUGCAACUCAAUUGUAGGCGUGCAGGCGAUACGGGCAGACUUGAGUACUACAGGGGAGACUGGAAUUCCUGGUGUAGCGGUGAAAUGCGCAGAUAUCAGGAGGAACACCGGUGGCGAAGGCGGGUCUCUGGGUAGUAAC
RNAcentral lists this ribosomal RNA (704 nucleotides) under Gordonia paraffinivorans. RNAcentral describes it as "bacterial SSU rRNA". It matches the Rfam family "Bacterial small subunit ribosomal RNA", at positions 24 to 740 of the family's 1533-position model. The record is from RNAcentral. Lineage: Bacteria; Bacillati; Actinomycetota; Actinomycetes; Mycobacteriales; Gordoniaceae.